GAAGAGAUAAGAGGGAUAAAAAGAAAGAAAAGAUGUAGAAGGAGCCCUAAGAAUUGAUUUAUAAGAGGAGCUGUACUCCUCACUUUUUCAUCCAUCAGCAGAUGAAAACAUAGAGCAACAACCAUAAUACCUAAGAAAAAUCUGAAAAAACUUACUGAGCUUUUAAAACCAUAGGAAGAUCUAGGUUCUAGAGGAAUCUCUAAAACUAUUUCAACUUCUUUGGAUGUUUAAAGGUUGAGUGUGCGGUUUCUGGGUUUUUAGAAAAGCUGGUUUGAUCAAUUGUUGUUGAUUUUGCUGUUUCUUCUGUUGCUGAGCUCCAACUAGUAGAUCUCUGGCCUUUAUUUUGCUAUUUAAAGCUGUAUUGUGUCAAAACUAGACCGCUGGGCUUGAUGCUCUGAUCCGAUCAUAGAGGCAACGAAGUCUCCAACUCCGAAAUUCCAUGGCCAAGCGGGUUUGAAAUGGCCCAACCUCGUGAGCCCAAUAGAUAUGGGCCCUUCCUAAAUCCCAUGUUAGCCUAACUGAUCCACUUGGUAAUUUUUAGCAUGUAACCCAAUAAUUUGUUAUGCUUUGUAAACCAAAUUGAUUUGUAAUCAACUGUUAGAUCCUUCACUGA
This is a long non-coding RNA of Nicotiana attenuata, 613 nucleotides long. RefSeq lists it as uncharacterized. The record is from RefSeq and is a predicted model, not a curated record. The transcript has 2 exons. NCBI's taxonomy places the organism in Eukaryota, Viridiplantae, Streptophyta, Magnoliopsida, Solanales, Solanaceae.